This 235-nucleotide unclassified non-coding RNA is filed under the name Hevea brasiliensis (rubber tree). Lineage: Eukaryota; Viridiplantae; Streptophyta; Magnoliopsida; Malpighiales; Euphorbiaceae. The record is from RNAcentral.
UCUAGAUCACUACAACAUAUUAGCAUCUAUCCUUCUUGUUCAUCAUCCAGUAAGUGCAUAAGCUUGGUGCCUCUUUGGUAUACGCCAUAUAACUGAUGAUACCCUUUUUGGAUCUAUAAUUCCUGCAGUUAUCAAAUCCUCAUAUCUGUCUCUUGCAGGAUUGUAUCCAUAUCUUGGGUCAUCAUUUGACAGCAUGUUAUGGCAGAGCCACAAACUAGCAUGAAAAAUGGGAAAG